UUUCCCAUUUGGCUAUCACAUUAUCUCCUGAUAGAUUUUACUGGCUAUGCUUACGGGAUAGAUGAGAACUGCUGUGAUCUGAAGAGGGAGGAUUUGCCCGUGUCCUCCUCCUGUAUGAAAUGGCUGAACAAGAAAAA
Capra hircus (goat) is the source of this 137-nucleotide small nucleolar RNA. The record is from Ensembl. Lineage: Eukaryota; Metazoa; Chordata; Mammalia; Artiodactyla; Bovidae.